UUACGGUCACAUCAUGUUGAAAACACCGGUUCCCAUACGAUCAACAAAGUUAAGCAACUUUGAGCCUGGUCAGUACCUAGAUAGGUGACCGCUUGGGAAUACCAAGUGCUGUAAG
Molecule: ribosomal RNA, 115 nt
Filed under: Acanthosepion pharaonis
Lineage: Eukaryota; Metazoa; Mollusca; Cephalopoda; Sepiida; Sepiidae
Source: RNAcentral